This 373-nucleotide ribosomal RNA is filed under the name uncultured bacterium. Its description in RNAcentral is "bacterial SSU rRNA". It matches the Rfam family "Bacterial small subunit ribosomal RNA", at positions 29 to 433 of the family's 1533-position model. The record is from RNAcentral.
AACGAACGCUGGCGGCAGGCCUAACACAUGCAAGUCGAGCGCGACCUUCGGGUUGAGCGGCGGACGGGUUAGUAACGCGUGGGAACGUACCCAGAUCUGCGGAAUAGCCACUGGAAACGGUGAGUAAUACCGCAUACGCCCUUCGGGGAAAGAUUUAUCGGAUUUGGAUCGGCCCGCGUUAGAUUAGGUAGUUGGUGGGGUAAUGGCCUACCAAGCCUACGAUCUAUAGCUGGUUUUAGAGGAUGAUCAGCAACACUGGACUGAGACACGGCCAGACUCCUACGGGAGCAGCAGUGGGGAAUCUUGGGACAAUGGCGCAAGCCUGAUCCAGCCAUGCCGCGUGAGUGAUGAAGGCCUUAGGGUCGUAAAGCUC